RNAcentral lists this transfer RNA (68 nucleotides) under Eubacteriales bacterium. RNAcentral's name for it is "tRNA-Thr". It matches the Rfam family "tRNA". From Rfam's summary of the family: Transfer RNA (tRNA) molecules are approximately 80 nucleotides in length. Their secondary structure includes four short double-helical elements and three loops (D, anti-codon, and T loops). Lineage: Bacteria; Bacillati; Bacillota; Clostridia; Eubacteriales. The record is from RNAcentral.
GAAACGGUAGCUCAACGGCAGAGCGCAGUUCCGUGCGCUGGAUCCCGGUUCGACUCCGGGCCGUUUCU